UACAGAGGUCCCAAGCGUUGUUCGGAUUCACUGGGCGUAAAGGGUGCGUAGGUGGCAGGGUAAGUUUGAUGUGAAAUCUCCGAGCUCAACUCGGAAACUGCAUUGAAUACUAUCCUGCUUGAGGAUUGGAGGGGAGACUGGAAUUCUCGGUGUAGCAGUGAAAUGCGUAGAUAUCGGGAGGAACACCAGUGGCGAAGGCGACUACCUGGCCUGUUCUUGACGCUGAGGCGCGAAAGCUAGGGGAGCAAACGGG
RNAcentral lists this ribosomal RNA (253 nucleotides) under uncultured bacterium. Its description in RNAcentral is "partial 16S ribosomal RNA". It matches the Rfam family "Bacterial small subunit ribosomal RNA", at positions 524 to 776 of the family's 1533-position model. The record is from RNAcentral.